RNAcentral lists this ribosomal RNA (253 nucleotides) under uncultured bacterium. Its description in RNAcentral is "partial 16S ribosomal RNA". It matches the Rfam family "Bacterial small subunit ribosomal RNA", at positions 524 to 776 of the family's 1533-position model. The record is from RNAcentral.
UACGUAGGGUGCGAGCGUUGUCCGGAAUUACUGGGCGUAAAGAGCUCGUAGGUGGUUUGUCGCGUUGUCCGUGAAAACUCACAGCUUAACUGUGGGCGUGCGGGCGAUACGGGCAGACUGGAGUACUGCAGGGGAGACUGGAAUUCCUGGUGUAGCGGUGGAAUGCGCAGAUAUCAGGAGGAACACCGGUGGCGAAGGCGGGUCUCUGGGCAGUAACUGGCGCUGAGGAGCGAAAGCGUGGGGAGCGAACAGG